This 2638-nucleotide long non-coding RNA is filed under the name Vigna radiata. RNAcentral describes it as "long non-coding RNA (VRAD_LNC009333)". Lineage: Eukaryota; Viridiplantae; Streptophyta; Magnoliopsida; Fabales; Fabaceae. The record is from RNAcentral.
AUCCCAAAUAUUAUAUAGACGUACAUAUAAUAGGAUUCAGCUAUUAUAGUACGAGAAAGCAAUUAGGAGUUAAUAGAGGACAGUAUUAGGCAUACAGUCAUCCAAAAUAUGGUUGAAAUUUAUAAUUUAAAUACAAGAUUGAGAGUUCUUCAAAAUACAAGACAACUAAAGGUCUAAGGGUGCCUAAAGAGUAAUUCCAAAAUACAGAUCAUGAGAAGUAAAAGCUAGAAGUCUUUCAAAAUGAAGAGUUAUUUAGAUAAGACUAUAGGAAAUCUAAGAAGUAGGAGUUGGGUCUCCUUCAGUCUCCAACGCUUGCUCCAAAGGCACCUCAUCAUCAACUUCUGCUCACAUCCAAGGAUUUGGAUGAUCAUCGCAAGGGGAAAAUCACACACAUACAAAACACACAAUUGCAAGGGUAAGCUAGGUAUAAAAAGCAUGUUAUAAAUCAAGUAUUUCAAGCAUGUAAUGACAAUAAUACAACACAAACUGUAAUUGAAUGCAUUUUAUUGAUACCAAGGACAGACCACGUGAUUUGACCGUCCGGACUAGUAUGAAAUGUCGAGUUCCAGGGGUUUGUGCACUUGUGGUGGCCCUACUGCUUUGCAAAGCCAUUGCCGAGGGGUUUCACCCGACCACACACAAGUGUAAGUCCAACCAAACUCAUCUUGGCCCAUAUAAAAUGGAAACACCCAAGACUAGGACCUCCUCCUAUUCUCACCACAUGACUCAUCACUCUCUAAUUGAGCAUGGAUGGUCAUUAGAAUGUCAAGGUAAACCCCAUCCUGAACUCCGACCAUUCAUACGGUCAAUCACAACAACUACAGGGCACCACCAUGUAACCUCCCUNGAGGNUCAUGGAAUUACGUCCAAUAACCAUACUUUUAAAUUUUGACACACCACUCAUGAUUUUCAACGUUCAUACACUUGUACAUAAUUAUACACUGUUAUUUGAAUCUAUACAAGAUAAUAUAUAAUUCAUACAUACUCCAACAUUACAUACUUUUGCAGAAANACCACUUAUUAACACAAAUUUCUUUAUAACCUUUAAUUACCAAUACUUAAGUAAUUCAAAUGGCUUGGAGACCCUUACCAAUGGAUCCGGAAGGGUCAAAAACCCCUAGAACGACCUAAAGAACGUCCAAAACGGACGUCCGGAACUCCCAAAACGUCAAAAACAUCAAAAAUACUCACUUUGUCGCAGGAAAUUCGCUGAGCGCACACUUUGUGGUGCGCUGUGCGAAUUUCUUCUGCCAGUAGCCCUUCGCAGAGCGCACAGAGUGCGCUGUGCGACUCUGCAUAAUCUGCAGAGCGAAUUUCUGCAGAUUUUAGGAACUCACCCACCCAAAACUCACUCUAGGCUAUUUGGUGAAUUUCUAACACUCCAAAUUCUCANUAUAGGUUGAAUUAAACUUGUUUAGAUGAUUAUAACCGUUCCUAACAUCGUUCUCUAGUGUUUAGACAUUGNCAUCAAAUCUAAAAACUCAAUUUCCUUCUCNUGGAAGCCUAAGUUCAAUUCUACCAUUUUUCACAGUUUUAGAUUCUGGAAAUGGCUCAAAUAAGUUCUAAUUGACAUGCUUACUCGAUCCCCACUGCCCAGAACAACCUCCAUCUAAGUUUGCUAAAUUUGACCAUCUCACUUCCUCUCAAUUACCCUUAAAACCAGUAUUAACUCAAUUUACCAACCUAUAUGCUCAAUUUUAAUUCCACAAGUGAGAAACUGUUUUUACCACUUUUAAGGCUCCUAACAAGUCACAUUUGACUUAUCUAAAGGGUCUAGAAUGACCAAAACCACCUGAGAGACCCAAUUCAAAAUCUGACUACCCGAUUUCCUCUAAUCUGACUCUAACUCUCAUAUUUUUGCUUAUGUACCUGUCCAGUAACAGUUUAACAGAGAAUCAAUUUAUCUAACUACUCAACAUCAUUAAACCAUUUAAUAUCAUCACUUCCAUAGUUUCAUCCAAUUUCACGGUUGACAUGCAAAACAGAAUUUAACAUAACAUAGAUUUUAAAUUCACAAUUCAUAUAUCAUUAUUUCACCAAAUUAACUUCACAUAUAUAUAUAUAUAUAUAUACACCAUAAAUAUUUAUCCCCAAACUAACUACCCAAUUCAUGCAACCCCAAAUUCCAAAUUAGAACAAGAAAACACCCAAGCUUCCCUUACCUCUAAUCGACAACCAAGCUUAAGGAGACUUCAACCACACCCUUGCACCCUAGAGAAAUUUGAAAGUACCUAUAAAUCCCCAAUUGGAGAUAGAAAUCAGAUUUUUAUGGCAUAAACGGAGUUAAAAUUUGAGGAGAAACAUAGAGGCAGUCACAUGCAACAAGGUAGAUUGCAUGAUCAUAGCUCAAGAGUUACAAAGAAAGGGGAUUCAACUCACCAGUAUAUGGACAGUGGAAUUGAUCGGUAGAAAUGGUUGUUCUCAGCUUCAAGAUUUCUCAGAAUUUCCCUAAUCAACAAACAAUUGAUUCAGUGACGAAUGGGCUAGAGAGAAGGCAAAGCUUAAUAGGGUUUAGUUUCUAGAGAGGGAAAGUGGUUUGUAAGAAUGAAGCAGGAUAGGUAUUAAAGUUUUAUUUAUGUUGAGAAAAUAAAACUGUUGUUCCUUACAAGUUUCUUAGAUUAAGUAUUCAAUUUCUCAC